RNAcentral lists this ribosomal RNA (253 nucleotides) under uncultured bacterium. RNAcentral's name for it is "partial 16S ribosomal RNA". It matches the Rfam family "Bacterial small subunit ribosomal RNA", at positions 524 to 776 of the family's 1533-position model. The record is from RNAcentral.
UACGGAGGGGGCUAGCGUUGUUCGAAGUUACUGGGCGUAAAGCGCGCGUAGGCGGGUUGGUAAGUCCGCUGUGAAAGCCCGGAGCUUAACUCCGGAGGGUCGGUGGAUACUGCCAGUCUUGAAGGUGCUAGGGGGAGAUGGAAUUACCGGUGUAGCGGUGAAAUGCGUAGAUAUCGGUAGGAACACCAGUGGCGAAGGCGGUCUCCUGGGGCAUUCUUGACGCUGAGGCGCGAAAGCUGGGGGAGCGAACGGG